GUAGGUGGCAAGCGUUGUCCGGAAUUAUUGGGCGUAAAGCGCGCGCAGGCGGUCCUUUAAGUCUGAUGUGAAAGCCCACGGCUCAACCGUGGAGGGUCAUUGGAAACUGGGGGACUUGAGUACAGAAGAGGAAAGCGGAAUUCCAAGUGUAGCGGUGAAAUGCGUAGAGAUUUGGAGGAACACCAGUGGCGAAGGCGGCUUUCUGGUCUGUAACUGACGCUGAGGCGCGAAGGCGUGGGGAGCAAACAGGGAUUAGAUACCCUGGUAGUCCACGCCGUAAACGAUGAGUGCUAAGUGUUAGGGGGUUUCCGCCCCCUUAGUGCUGCAGCUAACGCAUUAAGCACUCCGCCUGGGGAGUACGGCCGCAAGGCUG
Molecule: ribosomal RNA, 373 nt
Filed under: uncultured organism
Description: partial 16S ribosomal RNA
Rfam family: Bacterial small subunit ribosomal RNA
Source: RNAcentral